GAGUUUGAUCAUGGCUCAGAUUGAACGCUGGCGGCAUGCCUUACACAUGCAAGUCGAACAGCAGCACGGGAGCUUGCUCCUGGUGGCGAGUGGCGAACGGGUGAGUAAUGCAUCGGAACGUAUCCUGGAGUGGGGGAUAACGUAGCGAAAGUUACGCUAAUACCGCAUAUUCUGUGAGCAGGAAAGCGGAGGACCUUCGGGCCUCGCGCUCUUGGAGCGGCCGAUGUCGGAUUAGCUAGUUGGUGAGGUAAAGGCUCACCAAGGCGACGAUCCGUAGCAGGUCUGAGAGGAUGAUCCGCCACACUGGAACUGAGACACGGUCCAGACUCCUACGGGAGGCAGGCAGUGGGGAAUUUUGGACAAUGGGGCAACCCUGAUCCAGCCAUGCCGCGUGAGUGAAGAAGGCCU
This 408-nucleotide ribosomal RNA is filed under the name bacterium enrichment culture clone ALO1_GLFRUDD03HHK27. RNAcentral's name for it is "bacterial SSU rRNA". It matches the Rfam family "Bacterial small subunit ribosomal RNA", at positions 9 to 417 of the family's 1533-position model. The record is from RNAcentral.